Long non-coding RNA from Pyrgilauda ruficollis (rufous-necked snowfinch), 530 nucleotides. RefSeq lists it as uncharacterized. The transcript is spliced from 3 exons. The record is from RefSeq and is a predicted model, not a curated record. Lineage: Eukaryota; Metazoa; Chordata; Aves; Passeriformes; Passeridae.
AAAACCCCUGGAAACAGGAUGGCUGGAAAGAUCCUCAGCAGAAAGCCCCUGCGUGGGAUGCUGACCAGGGUUUCAAGUCGAUUGGGGGGAAAAAAGACAUGGAAAACAGCCCGGGAUGGAUGAACAUUGUGCUGCCACCACCACCAGCUGCCCUAUGGAUGGGUGGCCCUGUUGCCACCUCCUCCUGUCACACCCUGCCCCUGGGACAGCAGCCAGCGACCGCUUCCAUGAGCACCGGAGACUUCCCAGCACCUUCAGCCACCUCUGCAGGACCGCGAGAUUCCAGGGAUUGGGAAAAGCUUUUAUUCCCUGGUUUGACCCGAUCAAGGCGAGCCUUUUUGUUCAGACAGCUUUUGAAAGGAGUUUGUGGGGAUUUUUUCCCAGCAAACCUGAGAAAUCCGUUAUCUCUGCAGCCCUAAUGGAUUCAGGGAGCUGCUCAGAUCUCUGAGAGCAGAAAACUGCAGUUUUCCAGCCUCGUUCCAGCUGCUCCAUCCAGCUUGGAGGGCAGGUGCUGGCAUCCCACUGCCUGA